This 441-nucleotide ribosomal RNA is filed under the name uncultured prokaryote. Its description in RNAcentral is "bacterial SSU rRNA". It matches the Rfam family "Bacterial small subunit ribosomal RNA", at positions 140 to 604 of the family's 1533-position model. The record is from RNAcentral.
GGAAUAGCCUCCCGAAAGGGAGAUUAAUACCGCAUAACACUGCGGUUUCGCAUGAAACUGCAGUUAAAGGAGCAAGCCGCUAUGAGAUGGACCCGCGACGCAUUAGCUAGUUGGUGAGGUAAAGGCUCACCAAGGCCACGAUGCGUAGCCGACCUGAGAGGGUGAUCGGCCACAUUGGAACUGAGACACGGUCCAGACUCCUACGGGAGGCAGCAGUGGGGAAUAUUGCACAAGGGGCGAAAGCCUGAUGCAGCAACGCCGCGUGGAGGAUGAAUGCCUUCGGGUUGUAACUCUUGUCUUCUGGGACGAUAAUGACGGUACCAGAGGAGGAAGCGACGGCUACUACGUGCCAGCAGCGCGGUAUACGUAGGUGGCGAGCGUUGUCCGGAUUUACCUGGGCGUAAGGAUGCGUAGCGGAUAUUAAUGGGAUGUGAAAUACCU